RNAcentral lists this ribosomal RNA (371 nucleotides) under uncultured organism. RNAcentral describes it as "bacterial SSU rRNA". It matches the Rfam family "Bacterial small subunit ribosomal RNA", at positions 527 to 896 of the family's 1533-position model. The record is from RNAcentral.
GUAGGGGGCAAGCGUUGUCCGGAAUCAUUGGGCGUAAAGCGCGUGUAGGCGGUCCGGUAAGUCGGCUGUGAAAGUCCAGGGCUCAACCCUGGGAUGCCGGUCGAUACUGCCGGACUAGAGUUCGGAAGAGGCGAGUGGAAUUCCCGGUGUAGCGGUGAAAUGCGCAGAUAUCGGGAGGAACACCAAUGGCGAAGGCAGCUCGCUGGGACGUUACUGACGCUGAGACGCGAAAGCGUGGGGAGCAAACAGGAUUAGAUACCCUGGUAGUCCACGCCGUAAACGAUGGGCACUAGGUGUGGGAGGUGUCGACUCCUCCCGUGCCGGAGCUAACGCAUUAAGUGCCCCGCCUGGGGAGUACGGCCGUAAGGCUA